UACGGAGGGGGCAAGCGUUGUUCGGAAUCAUUGGGCGUAAAGGGCGUGUAGGCGGCCUGACCAAGUCGAAUGUGAAAUCCCUCGGCUCAACCGAGGAACUGCAUCCGAUACUGGUUGGCUAGAGUCCGGGAGAGGGCAGCGGAAUUCCCAGUGUAGCGGUGAAAUGCGUAGAUAUUGGGAAGAACACCGGUGGCGAAGGCGGCUGCCUGGACCGGAACUGACGCUGAGGCGCGAAAGCCAGGGGAGCGAAUGGG
Molecule: unclassified non-coding RNA, 254 nt
Filed under: uncultured Acidobacteriota bacterium
Lineage: Bacteria; Pseudomonadati; Acidobacteriota
Description: uncultured Acidobacteria bacterium contains 16S-23S intergenic spacer region
Rfam family: Bacterial small subunit ribosomal RNA
Source: RNAcentral